AUCUCAUGACUCCUCCCUCCCGAUCUCCUCCCCUCCCGAUCCUCUCCCCAUCUCUCCUGUUCUCCUCCUCCCCCUCUGCAGAUCCACGCCGAACAUGGGCUCCUCCUCGCGCCCUCCUCCUUAUCUCCUCCGCCAGACACGGGCUCCCCCAGCCUCGCCGCCAUGGAGGAGGCCGCCAUGGGAUACGGCGCCUCCUGCGCGAGUCGCCGCCUCCGAGGACAGGCGCGUGAGGAGCUCGGCCUCCUCCCUCCUCCUCGCUCGCGGCCGCCGACCUCCUCCCUCCUCAUCGCGUCCAUGGUGCGGUCGCCGGAUCCCCGGUUUCCUCCGCCACGACGAGAUCCGGUUUCCCCCUCGACCAUGCCGCGGGUCUGCUUUAUGUUGCCCUCGACCAUGCCGCUGCCG
Molecule: long non-coding RNA, 402 nt
Filed under: Brachypodium distachyon (stiff brome)
Lineage: Eukaryota; Viridiplantae; Streptophyta; Magnoliopsida; Poales; Poaceae
Description: long non-coding RNA (BDIS_LNC000359)
Source: RNAcentral